This 773-nucleotide ribosomal RNA is filed under the name uncultured bacterium. Its description in RNAcentral is "bacterial SSU rRNA". It matches the Rfam family "Bacterial small subunit ribosomal RNA", at positions 60 to 802 of the family's 1533-position model. The record is from RNAcentral.
AGUCGACGAACUUCUUUAUCACCGAGUGCUUGCACUCACCGAUAAAGAGUUGAGUGGCGAACGGGUGAGUAACACGUGGGCAACCUGCCCAAAAGAGGGGGAUAACACUUGGAAACAGGUGCUAAUACCGCAUAACCAUAGUUACCGCAUGGUAACUAUGUAAAAGGUGGCUAUGCUACCGCUUUUGGAUGGGCCCGCGGCGCAUUAGCUAGUUGGUGGGGUAAAGGCUUACCAAGGCAAUGAUGCGUAGCCGAACUGAGAGGUUGAUCGGCCACAUUGGGACUGAGACACGGCCCAAACUCCUACGGGAGGCAGCAGUAGGGAAUCUUCCACAAUGGGCGAAAGCCUGAUGGAGCAACGCCGCGUGGGUGAAGAAGGUCUUCGGAUCGUAAAACCCUGUUGUUAGAGAAGAAAGUGCGUGAGAGUAACUGUUCACGUUUCGACGGUAUCUAACCAGAAAGCCACGGCUAACUACGUGCCAGCAGCCGCGGUAAUACGUAGGUGGCAAGCGUUAUCCGGAUUUAUUGGGCGUAAAGGGAACGCAGGCGGUCUUUUAAGUCUGAUGUGAAAGCCUUCGGCUUAACCGGAGUAGUGCAUUGGAAACUGGGAGACUUGAGUGCAGAAGAGGAGAGUGGAACUCCAUGUGUAGCGGUGAAAUGCGUAGAUAUAUGGAAGAACACCAGUGGCGAAAGCGGCUCUCUGGUCUGUAACUGACGCUGAGGUUCGAAAGCGUGGGUAGCAAACAGGAUUAGAUACCCUGGUAGUCCACGCCG